RNAcentral lists this ribosomal RNA (481 nucleotides) under uncultured bacterium. RNAcentral describes it as "bacterial SSU rRNA". It matches the Rfam family "Bacterial small subunit ribosomal RNA", at positions 28 to 526 of the family's 1533-position model. The record is from RNAcentral.
GAUGAACGCUGGCGGCGUGCUUAACACAUGCAAGUCGAACGAUUAACCCACCUUCGGGUGGUUAUAAAGUGGCGAACGGGUGAGUAACACGUGACCAACCUACCUUUCACUUUGGGAUAACUCAGAGAAAUUUGUGCUAAUACCAAAUACUCCGAUACCUUCGCAUGUUGGUAUCGGGAAAGUUCCGGCGGUGGAAGAUGGGGUCGCGGCCUAUUAGAUAGUUGGUGGGGUAAUGGCUCACCAAGUCAAUGAUAGGUAGCCGGGUUGAGAGACUGAUCGGCCACAUUGGGACUGAGAUACGGCCCAGACUCCUACGGGAGGCAGCAGUGGGGAAUUUUGCGCAAUGGGCGAAAGCCUGACGCAGCAACGCCGCGUGCGGGAUGACGGCCUUCGGGUUGUAAACCGCUUUCAGCAGGGAAGAAAUUGACGGUACCUGCAGAAGAAGCUCCGGCUAAAUACGUGCCAGCAGCCGCAGUAACAC